UUCAAGCAGCCGCCGUCACUCUCUCUUCCAUCACUAACCCUAACACAGCAAAAUUCCCUAAUCUCAUGGCGUUUUCGCUGCCUCCACCAUCAAUCCUUUGUCUUCCUCGCCUCAUCACCCACCCACAAACAUUAAUCAACCAAUUUUCACCUAUUUUUCAUUUUUUUUAACCCUAUUUUUCACCAUCGAUUCUCUUCACCUCUUUGUCCGUUCACCAUCUCUUCUGUCUUUCACCAUCGAUUCAAGAAAACAAAGAGUUUGAGAAUUUCAAAAAGUUAUGGUGAAAUUUGAUACUUGAGGAACAGAGCUUAUGCUUCAUUGCAAAGCUGAAGACAAAAACAGAGAAGCAACAACAUCUCCAUGCUUCUCAAGUUCUUGUGCUAGUCUCAACUCUCAAAGCUCAUUUCAUUGUGUUUUUACUACUUGGUGUUUACAUGUUAAAUUAAUUUUAGGUUGAUGUUGUGUUGUAAUUAUUUUGACUUAAUCCUUUAAUUUCUGUAAUUUAUUUCU
Molecule: long non-coding RNA, 510 nt
Organism: Trifolium pratense (red clover)
Lineage: Eukaryota; Viridiplantae; Streptophyta; Magnoliopsida; Fabales; Fabaceae
Exons: 3
Source: RefSeq, a predicted model, not a curated record